UACGUAGGUCCCGAGCGUUGUCCGGAUUUAUUGGGCGUAAAGCGAGCGCAGGUGGUUUAAUAAGUCUGGUGUAAAAGGCAGUGGCUCAACCAUUGUGUGCAUUGGAAACUGUUAGACUUGAGUGCAGUAGAGGAGAGUGGAAUUCCAUGUGUAGCGGUGAAAUGCGUAGAUAUAUGGAGGAACACCGGUGGCGAAAGCGGCUCUCUGGACUGUAACUGACACUGAGGCUCGAAAGCGUGGGUAGCAAACAGG
Molecule: ribosomal RNA, 252 nt
Filed under: uncultured microorganism
Description: partial 16S ribosomal RNA
Rfam family: Bacterial small subunit ribosomal RNA
Source: RNAcentral